RNAcentral lists this ribosomal RNA (515 nucleotides) under uncultured bacterium. Its description in RNAcentral is "partial 16S ribosomal RNA". It matches the Rfam family "Bacterial small subunit ribosomal RNA", at positions 28 to 523 of the family's 1533-position model. The record is from RNAcentral.
GAUGAACGCUGGCGGCGUGCCUAAUACAUGCAAGUCGAGCGAAUGGAUUAAGAGCUUGCUCUUAUGAAGUUAGCGGCGGACGGGUGAGUAACACGUGAGUAACCUACCCAUAAGACUGGGAUAACUCCGGGAAACCGGGGCUAAUACCGGAUAACAUUUUGAACCGCCUGGUUCGAAAUGGAAAGGCGGCUUCGGCUGUCACUUAUGGAUGGACCCGGGUCGCAUUAGCUAGUUGGUGAGGUAACGGCUCACCAAGGCAACGAUGCGUAGCCGACCUGAGAGGGUGAUCGGCCACACUGGGACUGAGACACGGCCCAGACUCCUACGGGAGGCAGCAGUAGGGAAUCUUCCGCAAUGGACGAAAGUCUGACGGAGCAACGCCGCGUGAGUGAUGAAGGCUUUCGGGUCGUAAAACUCUGUUGUUAGGGAAGAACAAGUGCUAGUUGAAUAAGCUGGCACCUUGACGGUACCUAACCAGAAAGCCACGGCUAACUACGUGCCAGCCGCCGCGGUAA